GAAAUAUCUACAAUCUAUAAGACCAUUCUCACCUCCCCACUCUCUCUAAACUAAAAACACAGAGAACUUAUAUUCUCAAACACCACAACUCUCUCUCUAUUCUCUCUCUCUAAAACUCAAAACCAGACAUUCCCAUCUUCUCCUCCAUUCUUUAUCAUUCCUAACCCAAAAUCACACAAACAAACUUCAGAGAACAACUCCAAGGGUCAGACCUCACAACACAGUCAAACAUCAUCACUCUCACACCCCUUCCUUUCUCUCGAUCUGCUGGAACCGACAACCGGAGCCGGAACCAGCGCUCCGACGAGUCUUCCGACCGGUGAUUCGACAACACACAACCCUCACCUCACCUCACAGCCCCUGAUGAACAUCUGACGGCGGCGACGGUGGUUUGGGUUCGACACACACUUGGUUGUUGUUAUGUUGGAGACAGAACGAGGAAAAGAGACUGAGACGGGAGAGAGAGAGUGACCGGAGCAAGAAUGGAGGUGGCGACCACCACACGCGGCGGCAGCCGGCGGUGCCGGUGGCUGUGGUGGUUGUUUUGCUGCCUUUUCUGCUUGAUCUCGGGUCCAACAGUCUCGGUUCGGGUUCGGUUAGACCCAGUCAAAUCAGCAGCUUCGUUAUGGGUACGGGUCUCGACUCAGUCUAACUCAGUUCGACUCAGUACAUUUCGGCUCGACUCAGUCCAACUCGGUUCGACUCGGUACAUUUCGGCUUGACCCGGUCAACUCGGUCAAGCCUAGUCAACACAGCGAGUUGACUCAGUCAACUCAGCCGGUCAACUCGGUCAACACACUCGGCGUUUCGACAUGAUGAUUUGGUAAAGACAUACGGCGCAAUUAUUUCAUUAGUUUUAUAGUUUAUGUCACGUGAUAACGAGCUCGAACCGACUGAUUAUAGUUUACAUUUGAUAUAUAUUUGACAAUAUUACAUAUAGUUUAAUUGAA
Long non-coding RNA from Helianthus annuus (common sunflower), 950 nucleotides. RefSeq lists it as uncharacterized. Lineage: Eukaryota; Viridiplantae; Streptophyta; Magnoliopsida; Asterales; Asteraceae. The transcript has 2 exons. The record is from RefSeq and is a predicted model, not a curated record.